Molecule: ribosomal RNA, 3013 nt
Filed under: Salmonella enterica subsp. enterica serovar Muenchen
Lineage: Bacteria; Pseudomonadati; Pseudomonadota; Gammaproteobacteria; Enterobacterales; Enterobacteriaceae
Description: 23S ribosomal RNA
Rfam family: Bacterial large subunit ribosomal RNA
Source: RNAcentral
GGGUUGUGAGGUUAAGCGACUAAGCGUACACGGUGGAUGCCCUGGCAGUCAGAGGCGAUGAAGGGCGUGCUAAUCUGCGAUAAGCGCCGGUAAGGUGAUAUGAACCGUUAUAACCGGCGAUACCCGAAUGGGGAAACCCAGUGUGAUUCGUCACACUAUCAUUAACUGAAUCCAUAGGUUAAUGAGGCGAACCGGGGGAACUGAAACAUCUAAGUACCCCGAGGAAAAGAAAUCAACCGAGAUUCCCCCAGUAGCGGCGAGCGAACGGGGAGGAGCCCAGAGCCUGAAUCAGCAUGUGUGUUAGUGGAAGCGUCUGGAAAGGCGCGCGAUACAGGGUGACAGCCCCGUACACAAAAGCGCAUGUGCUGUGAGCUCGAUGAGUAGGGCGGGACACGUGGUAUCCUGUCUGAAUAUGGGGGGACCAUCCUCCAAGGCUAAAUACUCCUGACUGACCGAUAGUGAACCAGUACCGUGAGGGAAAGGCGAAAAGAACCCCGGCGAGGGGAGUGAAAAAGAACCUGAAACCGUGUACGUACAAGCAGUGGGAGCACAGGUUUACCUGUGUGACUGCGUACCUUUUGUAUAAUGGGUCAGCGACUUAUAUUCUGUAGCAAGGUUAACCGUAUAGGGGAGCCGUAGGGAAACCGAGUCUUAACCGGGCGUUAAGUUGCAGGGUAUAGACCCGAAACCCGGUGAUCUAGCCAUGGGCAGGUUGAAGGUUGGGUAACACUAACUGGAGGACCGAACCGACUAAUGUUGAAAAAUUAGCGGAUGACCUGUGGCUGGGGGUGAAAGGCCAAUCAAACCGGGAGAUAGCUGGUUCUCCCCGAAAGCUAUUUAGGUAGCGCCUCGUGAAUUCAUCUCCGGGGGUAGAGCACUGUUUCGGCUAGGGGGCCAUCCCGGCUUACCAACCCGAUGCAAACUGCGAAUACCGGAGAAUGUUAUCACGGGAGACACACGGCGGGUGCUAACGUCCGUCGUGAAGAGGGAAACAACCCAGACCGCCAGCUAAGGUCCCAAAGUCAUGGUUAAGUGGGAAACGAUGUGGGAAGGCCCAGACAGCCAGGAUGUUGGCUUAGAAGCAGCCAUCAUUUAAAGAAAGCGUAAUAGCUCACUGGUCGAGUCGGCCUGCGCGGAAGAUGUAACGGGGCUAAACCAUGCACCGAAGCUGCGGCAGCGAACGUAUCACCCAAGACAACUUUGCGGAGUUGACGAUUGACGGAGCGAAGCGACGUCAAAGCGUUCAUUAAAGUCGAGUUGGCUUAGGGAUACGUUCGUUGGGUAGGGGAGCGUUCUGUAAGCCUGUGAAGGUGGCCUGUGAGGGUUGCUGGAGGUAUCAGAAGUGCGAAUGCUGACAUAAGUAACGAUAAAGCGGGUGAAAAGCCCGCUCGCCGGAAGACCAAGGGUUCCUGUCCAACGUUAAUCGGGGCAGGGUGAGUCGACCCCUAAGGCGAGGCCGAAAGGCGUAGUCGAUGGGAAACGGGUUAAUAUUCCCGUACUUGGUGUUACUGCGAAGGGGGGACGGAGAAGGCUAUGUUGGCCGGGCGACGGUUGUCCCGGUUUAAGCGUGUAGGUGUGUGUUCCAGGUAAAUCCGGUUCACUUUAACACUGAGGCGUGAUGACGAGGCACUACGGUGCUGAAGCAACAAAUGCCCUGCUUCCAGGAAAAGCCUCUAAGCAUCAGGUAACAUCAAAUCGUACCCCAAACCGACACAGGUGGUCAGGUAGAGAAUACCAAGGCGCUUGAGAGAACUCGGGUGAAGGAACUAGGCAAAAUGGUGCCGUAACUUCGGGAGAAGGCACGCUGACACGUAGGUGAAGUGAUUUACUCACGGAGCUGAAGUCAGUCGAAGAUACCAGCUGGCUGCAACUGUUUAUUAAAAACACAGCACUGUGCAAACACGAAAGUGGACGUAUACGGUGUGACGCCUGCCCGGUGCCGGAAGGUUAAUUGAUGGGGUCAGCGCAAGCGAAGCUCCUGAUCGAAGCCCCGGUAAACGGCGGCCGUAACUAUAACGGUCCUAAGGUAGCGAAAUUCCUUGUCGGGUAAGUUCCGACCUGCACGAAUGGCGUAAUGAUGGCCAGGCUGUCUCCACCCGAGACUCAGUGAAAUUGAACUCGCUGUGAAGAUGCAGUGUACCCGCGGCAAGACGGAAAGACCCCGUGAACCUUUACUAUAGCUUGACACUGAACAUUGAGCCUUGAUGUGUAGGAUAGGUGGGAGGCUUUGAAGCGUGGACGCCAGUCUGCGUGGAGCCGACCUUGAAAUACCACCCUUUAAUGUUUGAUGUUCUAACGUGGACCCGUAAUCCGGGUUGCGGACAGUGUCUGGUGGGUAGUUUGACUGGGGCGGUCUCCUCCUAAAGAGUAACGGAGGAGCACGAAGGUUGGCUAAUCCUGGUCGGACAUCAGGAGGUUAGUGCAAUGGCAUAAGCCAGCUUGACUGCGAGCGUGACGGCGCGAGCAGGUGCGAAAGCAGGUCAUAGUGAUCCGGUGGUUCUGAAUGGAAGGGCCAUCGCUCAACGGAUAAAAGGUACUCCGGGGAUAACAGGCUGAUACCGCCCAAGAGUUCAUAUCGACGGCGGUGUUUGGCACCUCGAUGUCGGCUCAUCACAUCCUGGGGCUGAAGUAGGUCCCAAGGGUAUGGCUGUUCGCCAUUUAAAGUGGUACGCGAGCUGGGUUUAGAACGUCGUGAGACAGUUCGGUCCCUAUCUGCCGUGGGCGCUGGAGAACUGAGGGGGGCUGCUCCUAGUACGAGAGGACCGGAGUGGACGCAUCACUGGUGUUCGGGUUGUCAUGCCAAUGGCACUGCCCGGUAGCUAAAUGCGGAAGAGAUAAGUGCUGAAAGCAUCUAAGCACGAAACUUGCCCCGAGAUGAGUUCUCCCUGAGACUUUAGGUCUCCUGAAGGAACGUUGAAGACGACGACGUUGAUAGGCCGGGUGUGUAAGCGCAGCGAUGCGUUGAGCUAACCGGUACUAAUGAACCGUGAGGCUUAACCUUACAACGCCGAAG